RNAcentral lists this ribosomal RNA (235 nucleotides) under uncultured bacterium. RNAcentral's name for it is "partial 16S ribosomal RNA". It matches the Rfam family "Bacterial small subunit ribosomal RNA", at positions 15 to 240 of the family's 1533-position model. The record is from RNAcentral.
GAUCAUGGCUCAGGACGAACGCUGGCGGCGCGCCUAACACAUGCAAGUCGAACGGAGCUACUGUUGAAAGCUUGCUGGAUAUAUAGCUUAGUGGCGGACGGGUGAGUAACACGUGAGCAACCUGCCUUUCAGAGUGGAAUAACGUUUGGAAACGAACGCUAAUACCGCAUAAUGUCAGAAGACGGCAUCGUCUUUUGACCAAAGAUUUAUCGCUGAAAGAUGGGCUCGCGGCCGA